Molecule: transfer RNA, 70 nt
Filed under: Myrmecophilus sp.
Lineage: Eukaryota; Metazoa; Arthropoda; Insecta; Orthoptera; Myrmecophilidae
Description: tRNA-Ser
Rfam family: tRNA
About the family: Transfer RNA (tRNA) molecules are approximately 80 nucleotides in length. Their secondary structure includes four short double-helical elements and three loops (D, anti-codon, and T loops).
Source: RNAcentral
AAUUAAAUAGCUUUCCAGUAAGCAUAUGUUUUGAAAGCAUAAGUCAGAAGUUAAACUCUUCUAUUAAUUU